This 248-nucleotide unclassified non-coding RNA is filed under the name uncultured bacterium. Its description in RNAcentral is "contains 16S-23S intergenic spacer region". It matches the Rfam family "Bacterial small subunit ribosomal RNA", at positions 524 to 776 of the family's 1533-position model. The record is from RNAcentral.
UACAGGAGGGGCGAGCGUUAUUCUUCAUUACUGGGCGUAUAGUGUAGGUAGGUGGAAAAGGAAGUCUUGUAUGAAAGGCUACUGUGGGUAGUUAGUACGAGAAACUUUUUUUCUUGAGUUUAAUUGGGGAUGGUAGAAUUCUUGAUGUAGUGUUAAUAUACUUAGAUAUCAAGAGGAAUUUCGUUGGCGAAAGCAGCUAUCCAAUUUAAUACUGACGCUGAGCUACGAAAGCAUGGGUAUCGAACGGG